This is a long non-coding RNA of Anguilla anguilla (European eel), 195 nucleotides long. RefSeq lists it as uncharacterized. The record is from RefSeq and is a predicted model, not a curated record. Lineage: Eukaryota; Metazoa; Chordata; Actinopteri; Anguilliformes; Anguillidae. The transcript is spliced from 3 exons.
CAGCCGUACAGUUAACUGAGGUGACGUGGACUACAGGGAGGAGGGCUGCACUUCUUUCUGAGGUAUCCAGACAAUGGAUGAAAUAUCUUACUGAAUAUUGGUAUAAUCAUAAUCAAAGUGACUCUCCUCAUAGACAAAACCAACCGCCUGAUGCACACCAGCUUCUCAACUGUGUCCCGUGUCCCUGAGAGUUCU